Molecule: non-coding RNA, 569 nt
Filed under: Salinivibrio sp. KP-1
Lineage: Bacteria; Pseudomonadati; Pseudomonadota; Gammaproteobacteria; Vibrionales; Vibrionaceae
Description: Bacterial large subunit ribosomal RNA
Rfam family: Bacterial large subunit ribosomal RNA
Source: Rfam by way of RNAcentral
AGCCCGCUUAACUGCGAGAGUGACGGCUCGAGCAGGUACGAAAGUAGGUCAUAGUGAUCCGGUGGUUCUGAAUGGAAGGGCCAUCGCUCAACGGAUAAAAGGUACUCCGGGGAUAACAGGCUGAUACCGCCCAAGAGUUCAUAUCGACGGCGGUGUUUGGCACCUCGAUGUCGGCUCAUCACAUCCUGGGGCUGAAGUCGGUCCCAAGGGUAUGGCUGUUCGCCAUUUAAAGUGGUACGCGAGCUGGGUUUAGAACGUCGUGAGACAGUUCGGUCCCUAUCUGCCGUGGGCGUUGGAUGAUUGAGGGGAGCUGCUCCUAGUACGAGAGGACCGGAGUGGACGAACCGCUGGUGUUCGGGUUGUGUCGCCAGACGCAUUGCCCGGUAGCUAAGUUCGGCACAGAUAAGCGCUGAAAGCAUCUAAGCGCGAAGCUGGCCCCGAGAUGAGUCAUCCCUAGAGCUUCGAGCUCUCUAAAGGGUUGUUCUAGACUAGAACGUUGAUAGGCAGGGUGUGUAAGCGCUGUGAGGCGUUGAGCUAACCUGUACUAAUUGCCCGUGAGGCUUAACCAU